GAUGAACGCUGGCGGCGUGCCUAAUACAUGCAAGUCGAGCGAACAAAUGAGGAGCUUGCUCCUCUGACGUUAGCGGCGGACGGGUGAGUAACACGUGGAUAACCUACCUAUAAGACUGGGAUAACUUCGGGAAACCGGAGCUAAUACCGGAUAAUAUAUUGAACCGCAUGGUUCAAUAGUGAAAGACGGUUUUGCUGUCACUUAUAGAUGGAUCCGCGCCGCAUUAGCUAGUUGGUAAGGUAACGGCUUACCAAGGCGACGAUGCGUAGCCGACCUGAGAGGGUGAUCGGCCACACUGGAACUGAGACACGGUCCAGACUCCUACGGGAGGCAGCAGUAGGGAAUCUUCCGCAAUGGGCGAAAGCCUGACGGAGCAACGCCGCGUGAGUGAUGAAGGUCUUCGGAUCGUAAAACUCUGUUAUUAGGGAAGAACAAAUGUGUAAGUAACUAUGCACGUCUUGACGGUACCUAAUCAGAAAGCCACGGCUAACUACGUG
Molecule: ribosomal RNA, 497 nt
Filed under: uncultured bacterium
Lineage: Bacteria
Description: partial 16S ribosomal RNA
Rfam family: Bacterial small subunit ribosomal RNA
Source: RNAcentral